UACGUAGGGGGCGAGCGUUGUCCGGACUUAUUGGGCGUAAAGAGCUCGUAGGCGGUUUGGUAAGUUGGAUGUGAAAUCUCCAGGCUCAACUUGGAGGGGUCAUUCGAUACUGCCAUGACUAGAGUUCGGUAGGGGAGUGUGGAAUUCCUGGUGGAGCGGUGAAAUGCGCAGAUAUCAGGAGGAACACCCGUAGCGAAGGCGGCACUCUGGGCCGGAACUGACGCUGAGGAGCGAAAGCGUGGGGAGCGAACAGG
RNAcentral lists this ribosomal RNA (254 nucleotides) under uncultured bacterium. RNAcentral describes it as "partial 16S ribosomal RNA". It matches the Rfam family "Bacterial small subunit ribosomal RNA", at positions 524 to 776 of the family's 1533-position model. The record is from RNAcentral.